GUGGGGAAUUUUGGACAAUGGGCGCAAGCCUGAUCCAGCAAUGCCGCGUGCAGGAAGAAGGCCUUCGGGUUGUAAACUGCUUUUAUCUGGGAAGAAAAAGGCCAUGCGUGGCAAAUUGCCGGUACCAGAUGAAUAAGCACCGGCUAACUCCGUGCCAGCAGCCGCGGUAAUACGGAGGGUGCAAGCGUUGUCCGGAUUUAUUGGGUUUAAAGGGUGCGUAGGCGGCUGAUUAAGUCAGCGGUGAAAGACUCCGGCUUAACCGGAGCAGUGCCGUUGAUACUGGUUAGCUUGAGUGUUGGAGGGGUACAUGGAAUUGAUGGUGUAGCGGUGAAAUGCAUAGAUACCAUCAGGAACACCGAUAGCGAAGGCAUUGUACUGGCCAACAACUGACGCUGAUGCACGAAAGUGUGGGGAUCGAACAGGAUUAGAAACCCGUGUAGUCC
This 443-nucleotide ribosomal RNA is filed under the name uncultured bacterium. RNAcentral describes it as "partial 16S ribosomal RNA". It matches the Rfam family "Bacterial small subunit ribosomal RNA", at positions 354 to 796 of the family's 1533-position model. The record is from RNAcentral.